Canis lupus familiaris (dog) is the source of this 572-nucleotide long non-coding RNA. RefSeq lists it as uncharacterized. Lineage: Eukaryota; Metazoa; Chordata; Mammalia; Carnivora; Canidae. The transcript is spliced from 4 exons. The record is from RefSeq and is a predicted model, not a curated record.
UUGUAAUGCAUCCAUAGAAUAACUGUACAGAUAAAAUUUAUGAGAAGUUGCUUACUAGACAUAAUACCUCUGAGAUAACAGAAUUCACAUAAGCAUAAAGUCCAGAUGGCCAGUACAUAUAUCAACAGGCAAGAAGAAUUCUAGGCAAAAGCCAAACUUCCACAAUGGUUCAGACUCAGCCAACUUCACUGGCAUGUCCUGAAUACUAAGAUUGCCAAAGAGAAUACCUCAAACUGAAACGAGUAUCAUGGCUCCCUCAGAGUUAGACCUAGAAUAACAGAGGCACACAGGAAGCGGAGAUUAUACUUACAGCCCACAGUGGAAUUAACAUCAAAGUCUGAUCUCUGUGUGUGCCUUACUUCAGCCACUGCCUGUGUUACAUGGAACCCACUCAGAAGGGGUGAAAUGAACUUCCCAGAAGCCAUCGUCCUAAAUGAUACUGCUGUCCUGUGAGAUGAGCAAGGGCAAUAACUGCUAUAGAAAUGAAACCAAGCCAUCAACUAUGACUGAGAUCACUUAGAGGAAUCUGGGAUGGGCAAACCUCCAAGGAAUGUACAGUUUUAGAGAACAAG